UAGCAAUUUUGAGAGAUAGCACUGAACAUUGGAUGGACAACAUGAAAUGACUAAUGCCACACAAGGAAUCCAUGACACAAUCAGGACUAGAAUCCAAGAAUUAGUGGCACCCAAGUCCACGCUCAUUCUGCUAGACCACACAGUCUCCCAAGUAAAAGAGAAGUUAUCAGAACCACAGCUUGGGUGUUCCCUUCUUCAGCAGUUUGCAUUUUUCUAAAUAUACCAAUUCAGAUUACCACUGCUCAUUAAAUACACUCAUAUAUCUACUUUCAACCUUUUUUUCUUUGGAAGAAUACAGAAAGCAACUAAGAACAUCAUCUGGCCCAACCAGCCUGAACAAAGAAUGCAGG
Molecule: long non-coding RNA, 350 nt
Organism: Mauremys reevesii (Reeves's turtle)
Lineage: Eukaryota; Metazoa; Chordata; Testudines; Geoemydidae
Exons: 5
Source: RefSeq, a predicted model, not a curated record